UAUACAAUAUGUAUAUUACGUUGCGUCAAACCUCUGUAGAAUUCCCUUUGACAUCACAACGAUGGCGAGGAUGUCCUCAUCGUUUCCGUGCAGCACACUCCCCUCCCCCACAACCAAAGCACAGCUCAUCGCGCAUGCGCACUAGUCUCACCGCAUCGGCUGCUUUUUCAGAGGCGCAGCAAAAGCACAGCCUUGUUCUUUUAUUCAUCUUAUUUUAUUUUUGUAUUCCUUCCUCUCUCUUAGGCCGGCGCAAAGUUGGCCGAGGAGCAUCUCAAAAAGUCGGUUGCGUCAAGGCGGAGGUGCUCGGGGCAGGACACAGCAAGAAAAUGUUCAAAGUCAGCAAAAGCAGUGAGUUCAAAGAGGCAAAGAGUGAACACUCACCUUGUCAAAGUUAGCGAUGAUGUUGCGGGGAUGCAGGUGGACGACGACGACGACCCGAGUCUGGCAGAGGGCCGCUGUCUUGCUUGUUUUCCAGCUCUCUCGAGAGCAACGUGGCUGAUUGGAAUCAUCAGGAUCGUUCUAAUUGCUGCUUCAGAGCCGGUUGAGGAGCUGACCAUCUGAAUCAGGUGCGUUGCUGCCGGCCGGGUGAGCUGCAAAACAGGCAGGAUCGUGGCCCUCCGGGCCCGGAGCUGCGACGUGUGUAUGCGUGACUGUGAGUGUGUUAGCUCAAGGAGAAAAGACGCCGACAGCAAAACUUGUUCUGGAUGAAGACUUAUUUUAUCAAACAAUGUGCUGCAUACAAUUCAAUUUUGAUUUCAUUUUUUUGCAAUAAACAAUUGGACAAAA
Molecule: long non-coding RNA, 786 nt
Organism: Hippocampus zosterae (dwarf seahorse)
Lineage: Eukaryota; Metazoa; Chordata; Actinopteri; Syngnathiformes; Syngnathidae
Exons: 3
Source: RefSeq, a predicted model, not a curated record